This 192-nucleotide small RNA is filed under the name Chrysemys picta bellii (western painted turtle). Its description in RNAcentral is "TUC338 (ENSCPBG00000020641.1)". The record is from RNAcentral. Lineage: Eukaryota; Metazoa; Chordata; Testudines; Emydidae.
CUGAAAGCCCUGGAGACUGAAGUCCACUCUUUAUCCACAGGACAUGGAAAAGCAGAGACAACAGUAAUGCAAGUGUCCUCAAAUUGAUCCACCACUGAAUCUUAACCUGGGACCUGAGCCCCGCAAGCCCAAGUCAUCUGACCUAGGACAGCCAUGGGUUUUUAUCCCUGUGUAGAUGUACCCUAUGACGCU